RNAcentral lists this ribosomal RNA (492 nucleotides) under uncultured bacterium. RNAcentral describes it as "bacterial SSU rRNA". It matches the Rfam family "Bacterial small subunit ribosomal RNA", at positions 26 to 518 of the family's 1533-position model. The record is from RNAcentral.
AGGACGAACGCUGGCGGCGUGCCUAACACAUGCAAGUCGAGCGGAGUCAGUAAGAGGAAGUUUCGGAUGGAAUCUGUUGAUUAGCGGCGGACGGGUGAGUAACGCGUGAGCGACCAACCUUGCACAGGGGGAUAACGGACCGAAAGGUUCACUAAUACCGCAUGAGACCACGGUGUUGCAUGACACAGAGGUCAAAGGAGCAAUCCGGUGCAAGACGGGCUCGCGUCCGAUUAGGUAGUUGGAGGGUAACGGCCCACCAAGCCUAUGAUCGGUAGCCGACCUGAGAGGGUGAUCGGCCACAUUGGAACUGAGAUACGGUCCAAACUCCUACGGGAGGCAGCAGUGGGGAAUAUUGGGCAAAUGGGGGAAACCCUGACCCAGCAACGCCGCGUGAAGGAAGAAGGUUUUCGGAUUGUAAACUUCUGUCCUUGGUGAAGAGAAGAAGACGGUAGCCAAGGAGGAAGCCCCGGCUAACUACGUGCCAGCCGCCGC